RNAcentral lists this unclassified non-coding RNA (391 nucleotides) under Hevea brasiliensis (rubber tree). The record is from RNAcentral. Lineage: Eukaryota; Viridiplantae; Streptophyta; Magnoliopsida; Malpighiales; Euphorbiaceae.
ACUCCUUUACAUUUCUUUACCAUCUCUUUUCCAAUUUUUAUUAUGUUGGGAUUCACUGCACCAUGCCCCUCUCCAAACGCUAGUUUUUCGAAUAAAUCCCAAGCCUCAUUCUCUGUUAGACCUUGCAAAAUAUAUGAGAAAUCCACACCCAUGACUAAUGUAACUCUUGUGCUACGAGUGGUGACCAAAAUUUUACUUCCUGGGGCAGCCACUAACAAGUAAUCUUUCAAACCAUCCCAUUUUUCCUUAUCUUCAUUCCAUACAUCAUCUAAGACCAGCAAAUACCUCUUCUCUCCUAACUUCUCUUUAAGACGAUUAUGCAGUUGUUCUAGUUCUAAGUUAGGAACUUCCUCAUCAGUUGCGCAUUCAAGGAUCUUCUUAACUAGCAAUU